This 492-nucleotide ribosomal RNA is filed under the name uncultured bacterium. RNAcentral describes it as "partial 16S ribosomal RNA". It matches the Rfam family "Bacterial small subunit ribosomal RNA", at positions 29 to 507 of the family's 1533-position model. The record is from RNAcentral.
AGUGAACGCUGGCGGUAGGCCUAACACAUGCAAGUCGAACGGCAGCACAGUAAGAGCUUGCUCUUACGGGUGGCGAGUGGCGGACGGGUGAGGAAUACAUCGGAAUCUACUUUUUCGUGGGGGAUAACGUAGGGAAACUUACGCUAAUACCGCAUACGACCUACGAGUGAAAGCAGGGGAUCUUCGGACCUUGCGCGAUUGAAUGAGCCGAUGUCGGAUUAGCUAGUUGGCGGGGUAAAGGCCCACCAAGGCGACGAUCCGUAGCUGGUCUGAGAGGAUGAUCAGCCACACUGGAACUGAGACACGGUCCAGACUCCUACGGGAGGCAGCAGUGGGGAAUAUUGGACAAUGGGCGCAAGCCUGAUCCAGCCAUACCGCGUGGGUGAAGAAGGCCUUCGGGUUGUAAAGCCCUUUUGUUGGGAAAGAAAAGCAGCAGGUUAAUACCCCGCUGUUCCGACGGUACCCAAAGAAUAAGCACCGGCUAACUUCGUG